Molecule: ribosomal RNA, 427 nt
Filed under: uncultured beta proteobacterium
Lineage: Bacteria; Pseudomonadati; Pseudomonadota; Betaproteobacteria
Description: bacterial SSU rRNA
Rfam family: Bacterial small subunit ribosomal RNA
Source: RNAcentral
UGGGGAAUUUUGGACAAUGGGCGAAAGCCUGAUCCAGCCAUGCCGCGUGAGUGAAGAAGGCCUUCGGGUUGUAAAGCUCUUUUAGUCGGAAAGAAAGAGUCGCAAUGAAUAAUUGUGAUUUAUGACGGUACCGACAGAAAAAGCACCGGCUGACUACGUGCCAGCAGCCGCGGUAAUACGUAGGGUGCGAGCGUUAAUCGGAAUUACUGGGCGUAAAGGGUGCGCAGGCGGUCUUGCAAGUCAGAUGUGAAAGCCCCGGGCUUAACCUGGGAAUUGCGUUUGAAACUACAAGGCUAGAGUGCAGCAGAGGGGAGUGGAAUUCCAUGUGUAGCAGUGAAAUGCGUAGAGAUGUGGAAGAACACCGAUGGCGAAGGCAGCUCCCUGGGUUGACACUGACGCUCAUGCACGAAAGCGUGGGGAGCAAACA